RNAcentral lists this ribosomal RNA (2894 nucleotides) under Klebsiella pneumoniae. Its description in RNAcentral is "23S ribosomal RNA". It matches the Rfam family "Bacterial large subunit ribosomal RNA". Lineage: Bacteria; Pseudomonadati; Pseudomonadota; Gammaproteobacteria; Enterobacterales; Enterobacteriaceae. The record is from RNAcentral.
GGUUAAGCGACUAAGCGUACACGGUGGAUGCCCUGGCAGUCAGAGGCGAUGAAGGACGUGCUAAUCUGCGAAAAGCGUCGGUAAGGUGAUAUGAACCGUUAUAACCGGCGAUGUCCGAAUGGGGAAACCCAGUGCAAUUCGUUGCACUAUCGUUAACUGAAUACAUAGGUUAACGAGGCGAACCGGGGAACUGAAACAUCUAAGUACCCCGAGGAAAAGAAAUCAACCGAGAUUCCCCAGUAGCGGCGAGCGAACGGGGAGCAGCCCAGAGUCUGAAUCAGCUUGUGUGUUAGUGGAACGGUCUGGAAAGUCCGACGGUACAGGGUGAUAGUCCCGUACACCAAAAUGCACAGGCUGUGAACUCGAAGAGUAGGGCGGGACACGUGGUAUCCUGUCUGAAUAUGGGGGACCAUCCUCCAAGGCUAAAUACUCCUGACUGACCGAUAGUGAACCAGUACCGUGAGGAAAGGCGAAAAGAACCCCGGCGAGGGAGUGAAAAAGAACCUGAAACCGUGUACGUACAAGCAGUGGGAGCACCUUCGGGUGUGACUGCGUACCUUUGUAUAAUGGGUCAGCGACUUAUAUUCUGUAGCAAGGUUAACCGUAUAGGGGAGCCGCAGGGGAAACCGAGUCUUAACUGGGCGUUAAGUUGCAGGGUAUAGACCCGAAACCCGGUGAUCUAGCCAUGGGCAGGUUGAAGGUUGGGUAACACUAACUGGAGGACCGAACCGACUAAUGUUGAAAAAUUAGCGGAUGACUUGUGGCUGGGGUGAAAGGCCAAUCAAACCGGGAGAUAGCUGGUUCUCCCCGAAAGCUAUUUAGGUAGCGCCUCGUGAACUCAUCUUCGGGGUAGAGCACUGUUUCGGCUAGGGGUCAUCCCGACUUACCAACCCGAUGCAAACUACGAAUACCGAAGAAUGUUAUCACGGGAGACACACGGCGGGUGCUAACGUCCGUCGUGAAGAGGAAACAACCCAGACCGCCAGCUAAGGUCCCAAAGUCAUGGUUAAGUGGGAAACGAUGUGGGAAGGCACAGACAGCCGGGAUGUUGGCUUAGAAGCAGCCAUCAUUUAAAGAAAGCGUAAUAGCUCACUGGUCGAGUCGGCCUGCGCGGAAGAUGUAACGGGGCUAAACCAUGCACCGAAGCUGCGGCAGCGACACUAUGUGUUGUUGGGUAGGGGAGCGUUCUGUAAGCCUGCGAAGGUGUGCUGUGAGGCAUGCUGGAGGUAUCAGAAGUGCGAAUGCUGACAUAAGUAACGAUAAAGCGGGUGAAAAGCCCGCUCGCCGGAAGACCAAGGGUUCCUGUCCAACGUUAAUCGGGGCAGGGUGAGUCGACCCCUAAGGCGAGGCCGAAAGGCGUAGUCGAUGGGAAACAGGUUAAUAUUCCUGUACUUGGUGUUACUGCGAAGGGGGACGGAGAAGGCUAUGUUAGCCGGGCGACGGUUGUCCCGGUUUAAGCAUGUAGGCUGAUUGUCCGAGGCAAAUCCGGAUAAUCAAGGCUGAGGUGUGAUGACGAGGCACUACGGUGCUGAAGUAACAAAUGCCCUGCUUCCAGGAAAAGCCUCUAAGCAUCAGGUAACAUUAAAUCGUACCCCAAACCGACACAGGUGGUCAGGUAGAGAAUACCAAGGCGCUUGAGAGAACUCGGGUGAAGGAACUAGGCAAAAUGGUGCCGUAACUUCGGGAGAAGGCACGCUGGUGUGUAGGUGAAGUCCCUGCGGAUGGAGCUGAGACCAGUCGAAGAUACCAGCUGGCUGCAACUGUUUAUUAAAAACACAGCACUGUGCAAACACGAAAGUGGACGUAUACGGUGUGACGCCUGCCCGGUGCCGGAAGGUUAAUUGAUGGGGUUAUCCGUAAGGAGAAGCUCUUGAUCGAAGCCCCGGUAAACGGCGGCCGUAACUAUAACGGUCCUAAGGUAGCGAAAUUCCUUGUCGGGUAAGUUCCGACCUGCACGAAUGGCGUAAUGAUGGCCGGGCUGUCUCCACCCGAGACUCAGUGAAAUUGAACUCGCUGUGAAGAUGCAGUGUACCCGCGGCAAGACGGAAAGACCCCGUGAACCUUUACUAUAGCUUGACACUGAACAUUGAGCCUUGAUGUGUAGGAUAGGUGGGAGGCUUUGAAGCGUGGACGCCAGUCUGCGUGGAGCCAACCUUGAAAUACCACCCUUUAAUGUUUGAUGUUCUAACGUUGGCCCCUGACCGGGGUUGCGGACAGUGUCUGGUGGGUAGUUUGACUGGGGCGGUCUCCUCCCAAAGCGUAACGGAGGAGCACGAAGGUUAGCUAAUCCCCGGUCGGACAUCAGGAGGUUAGUGCAAUGGCAUAAGCUAGCUUGACUGCGAGCGUGACGGCGCGAGCAGGUGCGAAAAGCAGGUCAUAGUGAUCCGGUGGUUCUGAAUGGAAGGGCCAUCGCUCAACGGAUAAAAGGUACUCCGGGGAUAACAGGCUGAUACCGCCCAAGAGUUCAUAUCGACGGCGGUGUUUGGCACCUCGAUGUCGGCUCAUCACAUCCUGGGGCUGAAGUAGGUCCCAAGGGUAUGGCUGUUCGCCAUUUAAAGUGGUACGCGAGCUGGGUUUAGAACGUCGUGAGACAGUUCGGUCCCUAUCUGCCGUGGGCGCUGGAGAAUUGAGGGGGCUGCUCCUAGUACGAGAGGACCGGAGUGGACGCAUCACUGGUGUUCGGGUUGUCAUGCCAAUGGCACUGCCCGGUAGCUAAAUGCGGAAGAGAUAAGUGCUGAAAGCAUCUAAGCACGAAACUUGCCCCGAGAUGAGUUCUCCCUGAGACUUUAAGUCUCCUGAAGGAACGUUAAAGACGAUGACGUUGAUAGGCCGGGUGUGUAAGCGCAGCGAUGCGUUGAGCUAACCGGUACUAAUGAACCGUGAGGCUUAACCUU